UGGAUUUUACAAAGUUUGCUCUCUCUAUUCCUAUUGUGUUACCAACUGGUCACCGGUAACCAUUUCGUCGUCGAUAAUGGUCACCAAUUGUAAACGGUUCUUUUGUGAUUUUAAGGUGUGAUGAUGAUAGAGUGCUUCUCCCCUGAAUCCUGUUGGAUAUCAGCGAUGAUAGUUGCCCGCUACUAGGCAUGGCAACUCCGGUUGCAGCUGUAGUGGGUAUGAGUCGUCCUUUGUUGUGGAAGGCAAUGACGAAGUGUGCAUCCGAGCCUCUGUUUUUUUUCAACGAUGAUAAUGAUCUGUAGAUCUGUUGUGUUGGUGGUGAGUACAAAACUGUUUGGUAAUGGUUGUGGUUGGUGAUGGUGUUUGUGGUGAGGACGAUGGUGAUGAUGAUAGGAGUGAAAAUAUUUUUUAUGAUUCUUUCGAAUUUCUCUAGAUUUAAUUGUUGAUGUUUUGAGCUUCCGUUUAUGUUUGUGUAAUGUUUUAGGUUUCAUUUUUCAACAUAAACGAAACCGUGUACAUUGUACUUUCAGCUUUACUCUUAUUUGAAUUUAUUUUGCAGUAGUGUUUGUAAAAUGAUAAUAAUCUGGAAAUGGUUUUUUAGGUGAGAGAUUGGGUCGUGGUAUUGUUACUGAUGCAAUAACUACCCAUGUGUUCAAUACAUCUCCUUACUUUUUCAAGGAAACUACUGAGUUUAUUGCUUUCAAGGGGGAUGCAGUUUACUAGUAUUUGAACAAAUUAGAGUGUUUAUUACAUUAGCUCUAUGUUUUUUUCAAAUCUGACUAUUCGAAAGGAAUUUGUUUGUUUGUCGGAGGAUUGAAAAGUUCAAAGAGAUUUACAGUGGUACUGUUCUGUCGAUUAAUGCUGGGGAAAAUCGAUUGGGAUUAGGAGUUGGUGAUAACACCAUGUCUCAUCAGUAGAUGUCUAGCUGCAGCUCUACAGAACACCCCAAAACGCACUAGCUAUCGUAAGAAUAGGUUACAUAUUCAGAUUCAUUCGAUUCGAUUGAUUGAUUGUGUCAUCAGGUAAUAUGUGUGGCUUUGGAUCUUGAACGGAAAAGGAUGUUUUGUUCUUUAAAGAUCUCAAAUCUACCAUUUGAAGGAGCUUAGAGAUCAGAUGUUCUUUUGGAUUUGUUUUGUUAGUUGUACUAAGACCAUGAGCUGAGUUAAACGUAGGACGGACGAAACCAUUAAACCUUGAUCGUAUCAGGCGGAAUGUAACAAACAAUUGGUUUCUACUUUAUGUGAAGCCACACUCCCAAUACUGAGUGUACUUCUAUUGUUCUUAAUUUGUAAGCCCCGGCUGCAACGCGAUGGGGGUUAAACCUAGUUAUUUAAGAAAUGGUAUUUACAAAUGAUUUAAUCAUUUGUUUU
Molecule: long non-coding RNA, 1370 nt
Filed under: Helianthus annuus (common sunflower)
Lineage: Eukaryota; Viridiplantae; Streptophyta; Magnoliopsida; Asterales; Asteraceae
Description: hypothetical non coding rna
Source: RNAcentral